Molecule: microRNA, 21 nt
Filed under: Theobroma cacao (cacao)
Lineage: Eukaryota; Viridiplantae; Streptophyta; Magnoliopsida; Malvales; Malvaceae
Description: tcc-miR399f
Gene: tcc-miR399f
Source: miRBase by way of RNAcentral
UGCCAGAGGAGAUUUGCCCUG